RNAcentral lists this long non-coding RNA (462 nucleotides) under Monodelphis domestica (gray short-tailed opossum). RNAcentral's name for it is "lncRNA (ENSMODG00000043496.1)". The record is from RNAcentral. Lineage: Eukaryota; Metazoa; Chordata; Mammalia; Didelphimorphia; Didelphidae.
UCUCUAUUCCUAUUCAGUCUUCUUUUCAAUUUAUUUAGUGUUGAGUAUGGAGUGGAACUUGAUUCAGGACACUGUGAUGUGGGAAGUUCCAAAGGGAGGAAAAAUAUCUUUGAGGACAAUUUUCUGCUGGGCAUGAUAGGAGGACAUAAAUCUAAUUCCUGCUUCUGUGAAGGCUGAAGUUGGAGGAUCACUUGAGUUCAGGAGUUCUGAGUGUCACAGGGUUAAGCCAAUUGGACACUCACAGUAAGCCUGGAACCAAUAUGGUUGACUGCAGCUUGGCUGAAGAUGAAGACUGUGCAUCUGUCUGGGGGGCUAGCAGCUUUGCAGGCAGAAUGGGCAUCCAGAAGGACAUUCACUCAAUGAACAGAGCCAAGCCAUGAAUUGGAGCUUGAUGAAGGAAGAGACCCUGCUAUCCUCAUUUCAGAGGUGCUGAGGAGAAAGUUUGUUCUGAAGGAAGAAGAU